Long non-coding RNA from Numida meleagris (helmeted guineafowl), 353 nucleotides. RefSeq lists it as uncharacterized. NCBI's taxonomy places the organism in Eukaryota, Metazoa, Chordata, Aves, Galliformes, Numididae. The transcript is spliced from 3 exons. The record is from RefSeq and is a predicted model, not a curated record.
UCUGUUGGGGUACCACAAAGGGGUUCCUGCUCCCGUGGGGCAAGCUCUGAUGUGCAGAGAUCGAACCCCCAGCCCAACAGAGACCGGAGCCUCUGGAGAAGGCAGGAGGAGAUGGCAGCUCUUGGUCAGCAACAGGUUGGAUUUAAAAGGUCGAAGGACACCGUCACAGUAACUCGAUACCCACUGAGUGAUGGAGAUAGUCUGGAAAGAGAGGUACAGAAACUUCUUCCCUGAAUCCACUGCCGCUUCCAGCUGCUGAAGCAGAGAUCGAAUUGUAUCAAUCUUGGAUGAGACGCCAUUCUCUGCAGUCUUUUCAGAGUUCUUUGGUUGAAUACUGUGACUAAGAGUUGGGA